GUCGAGCGGAUGAGAGGAGCUUGCUCCUUGAUUUAGCGGCGGACGGGUGAGUAAUGCCUAGGAAUCUGCCUGGUAGUGGGGGAUAACGUUCCGAAAGGAACGCUAAUACCGCAUACGUCCUACGGGAGAAAGCAGGGGACCUUCGGGCCUUGCGCUAUCAGAUGAGCCUAGGUCGGAUUAGCUAGUUGGUGAGGUAAUGGCUCACCAAGGCGACGAUCCGUAACUGGUCUGAGAGGAUGAUCAGUCACACUGGAACUGAGACACGGUCCAGACUCCUACGGGAGGCAGCAGUGGGGAAUAUUGGACAAUGGGCGAAAGCCUGAUCCAGCCAUGCCGCGUGUGUGAAGAAGGUCUUCGGAUUGUAAAGCACUUUAAGUUGGGAGGAAGGGCAUUAACCUAAUACGUUAGUGUUUUGACGUUACCGACAGAAUAAGCACCGGCUAACUUCGUGCCAGCAGCCGCGGUAAUACGAAGGGUGCAAGCGUUAAUCGGAAUUACU
RNAcentral lists this ribosomal RNA (499 nucleotides) under Pseudomonas sp. RNAcentral describes it as "bacterial SSU rRNA". It matches the Rfam family "Bacterial small subunit ribosomal RNA", at positions 61 to 555 of the family's 1533-position model. Lineage: Bacteria; Pseudomonadati; Pseudomonadota; Gammaproteobacteria; Pseudomonadales; Pseudomonadaceae. The record is from RNAcentral.